UACUGUUAGUGAUUUAUAAAAUUAAACGGAUGGGAACCUCUCUGAAAAAGACUGAAGAUUUUUAAAAACUGAAACAGUG
Molecule: small nucleolar RNA, 79 nt
Organism: Kogia breviceps (pygmy sperm whale)
Lineage: Eukaryota; Metazoa; Chordata; Mammalia; Artiodactyla; Physeteridae
Product: small nucleolar RNA SNORD79
Exons: 1
Source: RefSeq, a predicted model, not a curated record